Molecule: transfer RNA, 69 nt
Filed under: Pachydactylus scutatus (large-scaled gecko)
Lineage: Eukaryota; Metazoa; Chordata; Lepidosauria; Squamata; Gekkonidae
Description: tRNA-Ala
Source: RNAcentral
UGAGGCCUUAGCUUAAUUAAAGCGGUUGAGUUGCAGUCAGUGGAUGUAAAUUAGAGUUUUACAGGUCUU